CUUGCCUCCCCUCUAAAAACUCAAGCAACCCCCUUUUUUCUUCCUUUCGAUCCCAGCUCCAUCUUUUUUCCAAAAUUAAAAAAACCUUGAUGCUAAAAAUUCCAAUUGCAAACCUUCUCACAAUAUCUUUCUUAAACUAUUAUAGAGCAAGAUAUUUAUCCUAAAAAAUAAUAUACUCAAGGUCAAAUAAUAUAUUCAAGAUAUUAAUUUCACAUUCUAAAUUCUAUUCAAAUUAU
This 236-nucleotide long non-coding RNA is filed under the name Physcomitrium patens. RNAcentral's name for it is "long non-coding RNA (PPAT_LNC002353)". The record is from RNAcentral. Lineage: Eukaryota; Viridiplantae; Streptophyta; Bryopsida; Funariales; Funariaceae.